Gallus gallus (chicken) is the source of this 545-nucleotide long non-coding RNA. Lineage: Eukaryota; Metazoa; Chordata; Aves; Galliformes; Phasianidae. The record is from Ensembl.
CUCAAUGUCACAGCCAUGCUGAUAAUCGGGACUGACUUUGUUAUGGAAGGUGGUGUUGGAGUGAUUCAAUGCCACUUUUCUAUCCAUUACAAACAGAUGUCAGCACCCUGUUCCAAACCACACCACCAGCCCUGAAGAAUACUGAAACUUUGCUGAGGGGUGAGAAGUUUCUUCUUUCUCCUCUCCUCAUUUUCUUGCUUCACUUUCUGAGUUACAGCUGCACUUCCACUGCUAUCAAUACAAGGCCAAGAGUGAGUUUAAUUGUAUUAUAUACACUGCAGCAAGGACAGAGGGCAAGCUCUAGCAAACACAUGGUCACUAUGAGACAACACACUUAUUCCUAGGCAAAAAAUCAGAUGCCUUUGGGAGAGCUUAUUAGACAAGACGAAGAACAGAAAAAAAAAUAAGAAAUCCUUGACUAAUGAGGAGAGUCGAUUGAAUCACAGCCAAAAGGCGUAUUUCCCUAGGCAAUAGUCUGUUUAAAUGAACUCUUAUUGCACUGGAAAUAUUUGCAUUUUAAUCUGUCUAAAAGAGAGACUGGGGAA